Molecule: non-coding RNA, 82 nt
Organism: Oncorhynchus masou masou (cherry salmon)
Lineage: Eukaryota; Metazoa; Chordata; Actinopteri; Salmoniformes; Salmonidae
Source: the annotation of a RefSeq genome assembly
GCUGUGAUGGCCGAGUGGUCAAGGCGUUGGACUUGAAAUCCAAUGGGGUCUCCCCGCGUAGGUUCGAACCCUGCUCACAGCG